AGUGUCUGUUGUUUAUAUGCUAUCCUGUCUGUGGAUUUUGUUACAGCAGCCUGAAUGGACUAAGACAAUGAGUGACUGAGUGGAUUGUUUCCAAUUAAUUCUUUUAACCUUGAAGGCUGGGACCACUUCUACCCUACAAGGCAAGGCAGUGUUAGUCAUAAAUAUGUUUUCCCCAGGAAUGAACCACUGCAAAGAGAGAGAAGAAAGUAGAACAUGGCCAGAGGAAGAAUUGAAAGUUCCACAGGCAACUUCCUAAAUGAUGACAGAGACCUAAGACUACAAAGCAUGGCGACCUACUGGAAAGAAGAAAGGUCAUGAACUCCUGAGGAGGUUGGCGAAGAAAUGCCAAAAGAGUUGACUAGAUCUCUUCCAAAUCCUAGAUGGAAAAACUCAAAGCACCAAGAUAUUUAAUAAGCUUUUCAGGAUCACGGAAUGAAGAGAACUGAAGUGUCAAACUGGUUGGCCUAUGGUCUCCCUAAGUUUUUUCUGAGGGCUGGCUCUAGGUUUUUUGGAAUCAUUAGGGAGAGCCUGGACCACACCUGCAUGUGCCGAUACCCCCCAGCCCUGCAGCUCUGUGAGA
Long non-coding RNA from Mustela lutreola (European mink), 580 nucleotides. RefSeq lists it as uncharacterized. The transcript has 3 exons. NCBI's taxonomy places the organism in Eukaryota, Metazoa, Chordata, Mammalia, Carnivora, Mustelidae. The record is from RefSeq and is a predicted model, not a curated record.